RNAcentral lists this ribosomal RNA (404 nucleotides) under Actinomycetes bacterium. RNAcentral's name for it is "Actinobacteria bacterium partial 16S ribosomal RNA". It matches the Rfam family "Bacterial small subunit ribosomal RNA", at positions 355 to 776 of the family's 1533-position model. The record is from RNAcentral. Lineage: Bacteria; Bacillati; Actinomycetota; Actinomycetes.
UGGGGAAUAUUGGACAAUGGGCGCAAGCCUGAUCCAGCCAUGCCGCGUGAGUGAUGAAGGCCCUAGGGUUGUAAAGCUCUUUCACCGGUGAAGAUAAUGACGGUAACCGGAGAAGAAGCCCCGGCUAACUUCGUGCCAGCAUCCGCGGUAAUACGAAGGUGGCUAGCGUUGUUCGGAUUUACUGGGCGUAAAGCGCACGUAGGCGGACUUUUAAGUCAGGGGUGAAAUCCCGGGGCUCAACCCCGGAACUGCCUUUGAUACUGGAAGUCUUGAGUAUGGUAGAGGUGAGUGGAAUUCCGAGUGUAGAGGUGAAAUUCGUAGAUAUUCGGAGGAACACCAGUGGCGAAGGCGGCUCACUGGACCAUUACUGACGCUGAGGUGCGAAAGCGUGGGGAGCAAACAGG